This is a long non-coding RNA of Chenopodium quinoa (quinoa), 686 nucleotides long. RefSeq lists it as uncharacterized. The transcript is spliced from 4 exons. The record is from RefSeq and is a predicted model, not a curated record. Lineage: Eukaryota; Viridiplantae; Streptophyta; Magnoliopsida; Caryophyllales; Amaranthaceae.
AUUGACUACAAUUACCCUUUUCAAAUACAAUUAGUCUAGGUUUGACCUUGGAGUUUUCUCGCUACUUCGUACAUUCGUACACUCUACUCUCUCUCUCAGUUUUCCAUUGAAGCGCACUCCCCCGUUCUCCAUUGAAGCGACUUCUAAUAUUUCUAUCUUCCAUUGAAGCAGCUUCUGAGAAACGAAAGGAUGCCUCUGGGAUUGAUACUCGGACUUGCAAGGUCAAUGCGCAGGAAGCGUACAUCAUCACUUGAUAUCCUUUCUUCAAAGAGCUAGGGCGCCAAGGAAUUUCUUCAAAGAGGGCGCCAAGGAAUUACUACAAGGGAAAGAAUUGCAAAGCCCACUGGAUUUCACACCCACAAAGGUGGCUAUGUUGUGGUGCAAGAAAAGCUGCCUAACUACGUAGUACCUGAUCUUACCGAUUUCAAGCUGAAGCCGUAUGUUUCUCAGUGGCCACUGAAUGCCAAGACAACUGCUAAUACUGAUGUAUCAACAUAGAUUGACAACACUAGAAUUAUCCAAGCCUUCGAGUUGUUUAGCUGUUUCGCAAUCAAUAAUUUCUGGGUAUAAUUUUUCAAGCAAGACCUCAAUGAAGCUGGAUUGAGAAUUGACUGUCUUGUUUGUUUAGCCAUCAUACUUUGUUUAGAAAAACGCAAAUUGUAUGAAAACUGAUGGUCUAAACAGUU